This is a long non-coding RNA of Phyllostomus hastatus (greater spear-nosed bat), 714 nucleotides long. RefSeq lists it as uncharacterized. The transcript is spliced from 3 exons. The record is from RefSeq and is a predicted model, not a curated record. Lineage: Eukaryota; Metazoa; Chordata; Mammalia; Chiroptera; Phyllostomidae.
UCAAUGAUCUCUGGACGCUAUUCCUGCCUCUGAGUGUCCACUGUCAUUUUUUGGGUCUAGCUUCUACAAUGGUUACCAAAUCUCCCAAUGCACCAGUAAAUCCAACUAGUAACCUCCAUGCAAAUGACAGUAUGUCUCGUCUAUUCACCCCUAUGUCUGAAUUUCUAUGCUAAGUUGGUUGAAUGUUUCAGAAUCCAUUCUCCAUCUCUGCUGGCCUGGAAGAUAUAUAUGCCUUUAACACGUGGAAAAUAACAUCACAACAGUGAGGACUUGGAGCAGCAGGAACUCUCACUCACUGCUGCUGGGGAUGCAGAUGGUGCAGCCACUUUGGAAGACAGUCUGGUGGUUUCUUACAAAACUAAACAUACUCUUACCACGUGAUCCAGCAAUUGUGCUCCUUUGUAUUUAGCCAAAUGAAUUGAAAGUUUAUGUCCACACAAAAAAUAAAAUUAAACAAAAAUCACAAAAUUAUUCCAUAAAUUAAAAAAAUUAGGGAUUAGAAUUCAUACUACUUGACUUGAUAUACUUUAUAGAUUUUAAAAUUUAAACUGAGAAAGCAUUAUAAAUAAUUUGUCCAUAAAUAAUGUUAUAAGUUUCAAGUGUAGUUAGUCAAUUAUUAUGUGUCUUAUUUUAAGAUUUCAAUACAGUACCAUACUAAAGAAUAUUAAUAGCUGCUAAUAAUAAUAAUAAUAGACAUUUAUAGAAUGCUUAGCA